Haplochromis burtoni (Burton's mouthbrooder) is the source of this 4417-nucleotide long non-coding RNA. RefSeq lists it as uncharacterized. Lineage: Eukaryota; Metazoa; Chordata; Actinopteri; Cichliformes; Cichlidae. The transcript is spliced from 2 exons. The record is from RefSeq and is a predicted model, not a curated record.
CCUGAGUCGGUUGCCGAGCAACCGUGGCUACAUUAAUAUGUGCGAUGGGAAAGGAGCAGGGGAUACCUCUUGCCUGUGGAGCGAAAGCAGCCACGACAGCGUCAGUGUGAGGCGACUGGUUCCCUCUCAGCACCCCCUACCCCCUCCCUCUGUCUCUUUCUUAUAGCCGUCCAACGUUCACGCUCUGCUCAGUUAGUUGGGGAAACACACACAGCUGCCGUAGCAGGAGAAAAGGUAUAUUAGGUUGCACAUCAUGUAGAGGUAACAGGGGCUUCCACCACUUUAGCGGGGGUGCUUUUUAAAAAAAUCCUUCUUUUAAAUUUUUGUAUGAAUCAUGUAAAAGCCAAGGUGUCUGCUAAACAUAUCUUAUGCCGCUGAGCAGUAAAAGUUUUCUUGAGAAGAUGAGCUUUUAAUAAGGGUUGACAGGUUGUCUUGGAAGGAGAGACAAGCCCGAAAAUCUCUCUUUUUUUGUAAGCUUUGCGGAUUAAAGACAAAGGAGGAUGGAAAUAUUCGCAUGAAACAGCUUUGUUACCCCCCACCCCCAUCCUGCCCAUCAACUGACUCCAUUCUUCAACUUGACAUCAUCCCUUCACACAGACAAGAAGAAGAAGAAGAACAAGAGGAGAAGAGAGAAGCAGAGGUGGGGAGGCAAACAGACGGGAAAGAGGAGGAAGAGCGGAGAGGAGGUGGGCAGCACACUUUCAGCUCUCACAAGGCUGAGGAGGAGAAAGUGACAGCAGCUAGAACUUGGCCACACUAGUGAGAUGAAAUUUGGAGAGGAGACGCUGCAGCGCUCGAGGAGACGACAUCUAAAGAGAGCCCUAAAAUUGGACCGCCUGGAAGGCAAGCCAGCAGUCUCUGGAUCCCGUCCACCGCUUCCACCCCCAACAGCAGAAGGAUGAGAGGGGUCGACUUUCACCUUAGUGGCCAGGGAUGUCUGUGCACUACGGGAAGGCAUCCCCUUCCAGCAUGUCCAAUGCUAUGUUAUUCCUGAUGCUUUGCAAGACUGGUCUGAGAAGAAAACUGCAGGCUUUUCCAGGGAAAAUGGUAAACACUCUCUACAGUGAUGAGGAAAAGGGAAUCCAAGACAAGGAAAGUAAGGAGGAGACCAUCUUGGCCAUGCUGGGAAUCAUUGGGACCAUUCUCAACUUGGUCGUCAUCAUUUUUGUCUACAUCUACACCACCUUGUAGGUCUUGAACUCUUAUUGUGCUUCAUUAGUGGACACAGCAGAGCACAUCUGAGCUGCUUCAGCAACACUAUGUUGACUGAAAAGGAGAAAAAGAUGGGUGGAGAAAGGAAGAGGCUGAACUGUGCUGUUGCCAUAUGGCACCAGUCCUGCAUCACUUCAAACAGCUGAGACUAUAAGAAACUGGCUUGUUCCUCUCCCUUUACAGGUAAAAUUAUCCAGAAUUUCUGGUCAUUUUGACUUGUAUAUAAAUGCAUGAAGCAAAGUUGAGAGACUGAAAAGAUGAGAGCUUUCACUAACACGUGGACUUAAAACAGCAGGAAGAGUGGACAUUUUUGAAUAAUACUUUACAAAUGCUUUUAUUAAAUGAAUUAUGAUUUAUUGUUCUGUUUUACAUCCAUGAGAUAACAGUUCAAAUUGUAAGUAAAAAUUAGCUUUUGGUUUGCUGUUUUUUUUUUAACACAACAAAUUUCCAUUUCUAUGAGAUUUUAACAGACAAAAGGAAGAAAAUGUUAUUCUGAUUGAUUUAAUGUUCACUUUAAGACUGUAUUUGUCAUCAGUGUUUGCAAAGUAUUGACCGGACGACAUUUACGGAGACUAUUAUUCCUGAAAUUUAAAUACAUGCAGAGUUUUAGGUUGUAUGCUUGUACAUUUACAGGUCAAAACUGAGUCUAUAAAUGGUAUAAUAUCAGUUUAAUGUGCUGAAAUGAAUCCAUAAUGGUUACACUUGACAUUGUGCCGAACAUUAAACCACGGAAGAAUACUUAAAUUGUUACUUAAAUUAGUUAAAAGCAACGUCGUUAUCCUGUAAGUGUUUAAUUUAUCACUUCCACCUUUAAAGGCCAUCCAUAUAGAAAAAGAAGAACCGAGAAGGAUAUUUUACUCACUCAGAUGCAGCUUUGAAACUUCAUAAAGCCUUUCAUAAAUUUGUCAACAUGUACAAAAUGUUUCAUAAUCUUUAUGUUACUUAUUACUAUAAAAAGCUCACUCUUCAAAGUAGAAAAGGGAAAGCGACAGCUUGGGCUCUCAGUUUGUGCAUCACUAAAUCAGAACUUGUCCAUGAUUACUGUUUGCCUUAAAACAUGAGGAAAUGUCUAUUUCCGCAGUGUUUAUCAGGUUAAAAAGACUUUGUGAAACCCUUGUUGUACAUACAUAUAAUGUUCGUAUUUUAUGGGUUUAUUGGCGGUAAUUUUUAUAAAAGCAUCCUACUCUUGUCUUAACCAACAUGAUUAUUACAAGAUAUUUCCAGACCUGGGCCAAACAGCUUACCUUGAGUCAUUUGUGUCCAUUUUCAGAGGACGACACUGGACAGUACUGUGAAUCAUAGGAAAUUUACAUGACGGCAAGAACCUUUAGAUUAGCUUUUGGUAUGAUUCUUUUUCUUACACUGACUAAACUAACACUGUGUCUAUUUUAAGGCCUCGUUCCAUCUGAGAGCAACCGUGUCAGCUAGAAAUUACAUUUACAUACAACUAAAUUUCAACAAGAAGGGAGUGUGUUGCUGACUGACUUAAGUUUUCUUUUUAAAUAUUUAGGAAAUGCUCUUUAUUUAUUGAACAAGUGGUUUAGUUUAGGUUUACACAAAGUUGAGGUUAGCUGCACAUCCAAUUGAAAAAGUUAGUUCAAGCUGCUUUAGCAUGCAUGCAUUUGCUGUGCACCUCCAAGCAUCUUGGCAACCCACCUUCACCUCCAGCAUUGCCUAUGACUAUUUAUAUACGCAAUCUCAAAGAUGAGGUGGUCCCAGACAAAAAGAAUCUUCUUUAAGCAUGACACAACAAUGUUGAUAAUGAACUUAAGUGUAACACGUGUAGUGACAGCAUAUUUAAUUUUUCCACCAAAAUAUUUGGCUUUGGAAAAGUAUAUAUAAAUGCACCAGCUACAAAAUUGUUAGACUGCUGUUUUGGCACUCUGUGUCAACACUUUUGAUGUUUCAUGUUUAAAAUCUUCUGAUUCUUGCCACUGAACGAAAACAGUGACACAGCCCGCAGUCAGCCAGUAAGGCUGAAUAAGAAUGUAAACCCCAGGCUGUGGUGUCGCGGUCCAAUUUGGGUCCUGUUGUCUAUGUCGACUUCCUUAUGCUGACUGAACAUUCCUGCAGUGCUUCACUCAUUAAAAAAAAAUGAUAUUAACAUAUAACCAUAAUGUUCGUGAGACAGGCUUAUUGUCAGACACACUGGACAAAAACCGAUUAAUUCUACUUGACCCAGGACUGGAAUUAAGAAACAUUUUGCACUUAAACAUGAGAAGAAAGUGUGUCAAGUUUUUUUUCUUCUUUUUUCCACAUUUGUGAGUCUGACUGAUCUGGUCCAGCUUGUACAAAUCAAAUCAGGUCAGGUUAUGUGACAGUUUGAGGUAAAAGUGACUUUCUGUAACAUCCUAAUUUAAGAAGCACUGAAAUUCAAGAAUUUUUCUUUAUAUUUGCGUUGAAGGAGGGAGAUAAAUAUUUGAGAAAAACAUUUUGUUUUAGAGGCAAUGGCAAGUACUUUUUUCCUGUGCUUCCAAUCUUAAUGCUAAAAUGACUGGAUGCUGGCUGUAGCUGUCAGACAUGUAAGUGAUAUUGAUCUUCUUAUGAAACUUCCAGCAAGAAAACUAGUAAGUUCCCAAAGUGUUGCACUAUUCUUCUAAUAAAACUAGAUAUAAGAGAUGAGAAAAGGCCUCCAAAUAACGAUGUACAGUUUGUAGAGAAUGUAAGGGUAGACAGGAGGCUAUAUUAUGUGAAAAAAUGUCAUGUUUGUGCUCUUCAGUCAACAACCUCUUGAUUUCAGAAAGUGCCUGAGAUGAAAUGUCUCAACCUCACCAGUGGAGAGGUGAAAGAAAGAAAAAUAGAUCGCCUGUCAUACAGCCAGAUGAGUGGAAGAGGUUUGCAGAAAAACAUGUAUCCUGAUGGGACUGGAUUUCCACAUAGCAUAGUUAGCGAUGCCAGUCAUUGUUUGUCUGGGCUGAGGGGCUCCUUUGUUUCACAGAAAGGUUUUAAAAUGAAAGCUUAGUAAGCACACGGAAGAGUCUUAUGAAUGUAUUUAUAUUUGAUGUUAAAGUUGAUUAUUCCUCUUAUUCUUAUUGUUUAUUUAUCUUUCCUAAAGCUAUGUAACCCGAUGUAUCCUUAUGAUUUAUUUGUGUGUAUGCAAAAUCUAUUUAAAGUCACUGUAAAGUCUCUUGUGGGUGACAAAGGGUUAACAGUUUUUCAGCCUGCAGUUUUGUUAACAAAUAUUAAAUAAAUACAUCUAAAAGUG